CCGAGUUCAUGCCCUUACGGGUAGAUCUCCCACCCUUUGUAUACUAUACCUUUGUUGCUUUGGCGGGCCGCCUAGCUACUGGCUUCGGCUGGUAAGUGCCCGCCAGAGGACCCAAAACUCUGAAUUAAAUGUCGUCUGAGUACUAUGUAAUAGUUA
Molecule: unclassified non-coding RNA, 156 nt
Filed under: uncultured Helotiales
Lineage: Eukaryota; Fungi; Ascomycota; Leotiomycetes; Helotiales
Description: sequence contains ITS1
Source: RNAcentral